GAGUUUGAUCAUGGCUCAGAACGUACGCUGGCGGCACGCCUAACACAUGCAAGUCGAACGCAGUAGCAAUACUGAGUGGCAAACGGGUGAGUAUAAUGUGGGAAUCUGCCUUUUGGUUUGGAAUAACACGGGGAAACUUGUGCUAAUACCGGAUAAGCCCUUACGGGGAAAGUUUUAACGCCGAAAGAUGAGCCUGCACUUGAUUAGCUAGUUGGUAAGGUAAAAGCUUACCAAGGCAACGAUCAAUAGCUGUUCUUAGAGGAAGACCAGCCACAUUGGGACUGAGACACGGCCCAGACUCCUACGGGAGGCAGCAGUGGGGAAUCUUGCACAAUGGGGGAAACCCUGAUGCAGCGAUGCCGCGUGAGUGAAGAAGGCCCUUGGGUUGUAAAACUCUUUCGUCGGGGAAGAAAAUGACUGUACCCGGAUAAGAAGGUCCGGCUAACUUCGUGCCAGCAGCCGCGGUAAUACGAAGGGACCUAGCGUAGUUCGGAAUUACUGGGCUUAAAGAGCUCGUAGGUGGUUGAAAAAGUUGAUGGUGAAAUCCCAAGGCUUAACCUUGGAACUGCCAUCAAAACUUUUUAGCUAGAGUGUGAUAGAGGUAAGUGGAAUUUCUAGUGUAGAGGUGAAAUUCGUAGAUAUUAGAAAGAACACCAAAUGCGAAAGGCAACUUACUGGGUCACUACUGACACUGAGGAGCGAAAGCAUGGGUAGCGAAGAGGAUUAGAUACCCUC
This 735-nucleotide ribosomal RNA is filed under the name uncultured bacterium. RNAcentral describes it as "bacterial SSU rRNA". It matches the Rfam family "Bacterial small subunit ribosomal RNA", at positions 9 to 789 of the family's 1533-position model. The record is from RNAcentral.